CCGCCCAGGUGCCAGCCUCGCCUCUCCUCUGCCAUUAAAACCGCUGCCGGUGUAGGAUACAAAGCGCUGACAUUUUCCAGCAGGCACAAUCAUGGUCACCCCCGCAGCUGAAACACUCUACGCAUGCGCAGCGGCUGUCUCUGCCAGUCAGUGCCUUGUGGCGCCCCGAGGCAGGUGUUCGCGGGCAGUGGCGGUUGGGCUCAGCAGGGUUUGAAGGAACGGAGCUGGGCUCUGGAACAACAUGUUCUAGUGCCCUGGGCAGGGGCCUCGCUGUUAUCUUACAGAAAGGCAGCGGGUGUUGUAGCAAAUGAACCAAAAAGUAACAUCACGGUCAAUAUGGUGCCAUGGUUCACACACAGGGGUCAGCUUUAAUUGUCAUGAAACAUUAUCCCUGGUCUGAUUCACGGAUUUUGUUGGUUGUUCUCACCUGCUGCUCGGUUGUGCAUUAGCGUGCUCUCUCGUGCUUUUUGUACACAAAGAAAAACACUACAAUAUUAUCAACCUCCUUAUGUUCCUUCUGUAGCUACAACUCCCCCUGAAGUCAAUGGGGACGUGAGCCAGAGCUGUAAGGAGUGUGGGAUUAAUAUGGCACACUUGGAUCUGAGAUGAAGAAGUUGUUAAGUAUGGGCAUGAUCCUGCAGUCCUUAGAUGAACAGUCAUCAAUCAGGACGAGAUUUAGGAUUAAUGCUGAGAGGCUCCUGAGUCCCUAUUAAGGCCUUGUUCCUCAGGCUACAGCUCCUUGUGCUGUACCCUCACCCUGCCUUCACCCUCCCAUAACCUGUCCCCCAGUCUCUGCCCCUCCCUGUUCUUUCCAGCAGGAUAGUCAGCCAGCUGACUCCUCCCCACCACCCAGAUACCCCAUGCUAAGCUUGGAGACCUGCAAUUGCCAGCAGCACCCUGGUGGCAAAGAGGAGAUCCUUUGAGGGCAGAGGGGAUUUCCUGCAGCCCUGCCUGAUGUGGGACAUUCCAGCAGAGAUGGAGGAAGAGGCAUGUAUAUAUUGAAAAGG
Molecule: long non-coding RNA, 1007 nt
Organism: Mauremys mutica (yellowpond turtle)
Lineage: Eukaryota; Metazoa; Chordata; Testudines; Geoemydidae
Exons: 3
Source: RefSeq, a predicted model, not a curated record